UGGGGAAUAUUGCACAAUGGGCGCAAGCCUGAUGCAGCCAUGCCGCGUGUAUGAAGAAGGCCUUCGGGUUGUAAAGUACUUUCAGCGAGGAGGAAGGCGUUGUGGUUAAUAACCGCAACGCUUGACGUUACUCGCAGAAGAAGCACCGGCUAACUCCGUGCCAGCAGCCGCGGUAAUACGGAGGGUGCAAGCGUUAAUCGGAAUUACUGGGCGUAAAGCGCACGCAGGCGGUCUGUCAAGUCGGAUGUGAAAUCCCCGGGCUCAACCUGGGAACUGCAUCCGAAACUGGCAGGCUAGAGUCUUGUAGAGGGGGGUAGAAUUCCAGGUGUAGCGGUGAAAUGCGUAGAGAUCUGGAGGAAUACCGGUGGCGAAGGCGGCCCCCUGGACAAAGACUGACGCUCAGGUGCGAAAGCGUGGGGAGCAAACA
Molecule: ribosomal RNA, 427 nt
Filed under: uncultured bacterium
Lineage: Bacteria
Description: partial 16S ribosomal RNA
Rfam family: Bacterial small subunit ribosomal RNA
Source: RNAcentral